Molecule: ribosomal RNA, 210 nt
Filed under: uncultured bacterium
Lineage: Bacteria
Description: partial 16S ribosomal RNA
Rfam family: Bacterial small subunit ribosomal RNA
Source: RNAcentral
UGCGUAGGUGGCGCCGUAAGUCGGGUGUGAAAUUUCGGAGCUUAACUCCGAAACUGCAUUCGAUACUGCGGUGCUUGAGGACUGGAGAGGAGACUGGAAUUCAUGGUGUAGCAGUGAAAUGCGUAGAGAUCAUGAGGAAGACCAGUGGCGAAGGCGGGUCUCUGGACAGUUCCUGACACUGAGGCACCAAGGGGCCAGGGGAGGCAAACG